CGGCACGGGUGAGUAACACGUAAGUAAUCUACCCUCGAUGGGGAAUAACAACCGGAAACGGUUGCUAAUACCGCAUAAUGCAGCGGCACCGCAAGGUGACAGUUGUUAAAGAUUUAUCGCUUGAGGAGGAGCUUGCGGCAGAUUAGCUAGUUGGUAAGGUAAUGGCUUACCAAGGCUACGAUCUGUAACCGGUCUAAGAGGACGGUCGGUCACACUGACACUGAAUAACGGGUCAG
RNAcentral lists this ribosomal RNA (236 nucleotides) under uncultured bacterium. RNAcentral's name for it is "partial 16S ribosomal RNA". It matches the Rfam family "Bacterial small subunit ribosomal RNA", at positions 100 to 334 of the family's 1533-position model. The record is from RNAcentral.